AGUAAAAGUCGUAACAAGGUUUCCGUAGGUGAACCUGCGGAAGGAUCAUUACACUCAGUAGUUUACUACUGUAAAGGAGGCUGUUAGUCUGUAUAGCGCAAGCUCAUGAGCAGCUGGCCUCUUUUAUCACCCUUGUCUUUUGCGUACUCACGUUUCCUCGGUAGGCUUGCCUGCCGAUUGGACAAACCUAUAACCUUCAAUUUUCAAUCAGCGUCUGGAAAACUUAAUAAUUACAACUUUCAACAACGGAUCUCUUGGUUCUGGCAUCGAUGAAGAACGCAGCGAAAUGCGAUAAGUAGUGUGAAUUGCAGAAUUCAGUGAAUCAUCGAAUCUUUGAACGCACAUUGCGCCCCUUGGUAUUCCAUGGGGCAUGCCUGUUCGAGCGUCAUUUGUACCCUCAAGCUCUGCUUGGUGUUGGGUGUUUGUCCUCUCCUUCGUGUUUGGACUCGCCUUAAAAUAAUUGGCAGCCAGUGUUUUGGUAAUGAAGCGCAGCACAAGUCGCGAUUCUUAUUAAAUACUUGCGUCCACAAGCCUUUUUCACUUUUGACCUCGGAUCAGGUAGGGAUACCCGCUGAACUUAAGCAUAUCAAUAAGCGGAGGAAAAGAAACCAACAGGGAUUGCCCCAGUAACG
This 632-nucleotide ribosomal RNA is filed under the name uncultured fungus. RNAcentral's name for it is "eukaryotic LSU rRNA". The stretch from base 235 to 388 matches the Rfam family "5.8S ribosomal RNA". Lineage: Eukaryota; Fungi. The record is from RNAcentral.